GUGCCAGCCGCCGCGGUAAUACCGGCAGCACGAGUGAUGACCGCUAUUAUUGGGCCUAAAGCGUCCGUAGCUGGCCGUGCAAGUCCAUCGGGAAAUCCGCGCGCUUAACGCGCGGGCGUCCGGUGGAAACUGUAUGGCUUGGGACCGGAAGAUCCAGAGGGUACGUCCGGGGUAGGAGUGAAAUCCCGUAAUCCUGGACGGACCACCGGUGGCGAAAGCGCUCUGGAAAGACGGAUCCGACGGUGAGGGACGAAAGCUCGGGUCACGAACCGGAUUAGAUACCCUGGUAGUCC
RNAcentral lists this ribosomal RNA (293 nucleotides) under uncultured bacterium. RNAcentral describes it as "partial 16S ribosomal RNA". It matches the Rfam family "Archaeal small subunit ribosomal RNA", at positions 455 to 747 of the family's 1478-position model. The record is from RNAcentral.